CAGCAGUGGGGAAUAUUGCACAAUGGGCGCAAGCCUGAUGCAGCCAUGCCGCGUGUAUGAAGAAGGCCUUCGGGUUGUAAAGUACUUUCAGCAGUGAGGAAGGUGGGUAUGUUAAUAGCAUACUCAUUUCGACGUUAGCUGCAGAAGAAGCACCGGCUAACUCCGUGCCAGCAGCCGCGGUAAUACGGAGGGUGCGAGCGUUAAUCGGAAUUACUGGGCGUAAAGCGCAUGCAGGUGGUUUGUUAAGUCAGAUGUGAAAGCCCGGGGCUCAACCUCGGAAUUGCAUUUGAAACUGGCAAACUAGAGUACUGUAGAGGGGGUAGAAUUUCAGGUGUAGCGGUGAAAUGCGUAGAGAUCUGAAGGAAUACCGGUGGCGAAGGCGGCCCCCUGGACAGAUACUGACACUCAGAUGCGAAAGCGUGGGGAGCAAACAGGAUUAGAUACCCUGGUAG
RNAcentral lists this ribosomal RNA (452 nucleotides) under uncultured bacterium. RNAcentral describes it as "bacterial SSU rRNA". It matches the Rfam family "Bacterial small subunit ribosomal RNA", at positions 349 to 793 of the family's 1533-position model. The record is from RNAcentral.